This 111-nucleotide ribosomal RNA is filed under the name bacterium. The record is from RNAcentral.
AUCGGUGCCCAUGGCGCGAGGGAAACACCUGUUCCCAUGCCGAACACAGAAGUUAAGCCUCGUUGCGGUUACUAUACUGCUUUUUAGUGGGAAAAUAGCACGGUGCCGAAU